This 73-nucleotide small RNA is filed under the name Paenibacillus sp. P22. The record is from RNAcentral. Lineage: Bacteria; Bacillati; Bacillota; Bacilli; Caryophanales; Paenibacillaceae.
GAAACAUAACGAUGAGCUUGCCAUUAUAAAAAGCAGAGAGCGGCUCGGAUAUCGAGCCGCUCUCUGCUUUUUC